GGCUCGUUGGUCUAGGGGUAUGAUUCUUGCUUCGGGUGCAAGAGGUCCCGGGUUCAAAUCCCGGACGAGCCC
Non-coding RNA from Xiphias gladius (swordfish), 72 nucleotides. The record is from the annotation of a RefSeq genome assembly. NCBI's taxonomy places the organism in Eukaryota, Metazoa, Chordata, Actinopteri, Istiophoriformes, Xiphiidae.